This 424-nucleotide ribosomal RNA is filed under the name uncultured prokaryote. RNAcentral's name for it is "bacterial SSU rRNA". It matches the Rfam family "Bacterial small subunit ribosomal RNA", at positions 355 to 796 of the family's 1533-position model. The record is from RNAcentral.
UGGGGCAUAUUGGACAAUGGGCGCAAGCCUGAUCCAGCCAUGCCGCGUGAGUGAUGAAGGCCUUAGGGUUGUAAAGCUCUUUUACCAGGGAUGAUAAUGACAGUACCUGGAGAAUAAGCUCCGGGUAACUCCGUGCCAGCAGCCGGGGUAAUACGGAGGGAGCUAGCCUUGUUCGGAAAUACUGGGCGUAAAGCGCGCGUAGGCGGCCAUUCAAGUCAGAGGUGAAAGCCCGGGGCUCAACUCCGGAACUGCCUUUGAAACUAGAUGGCUAGAAUCCAGGAGAGGUGAGGGGAAUUCCGAGUGUAGAGGUGAAAUUCGUAGAUAUUCGGAAGAACACCAGUGGCGAAGGCGACUCACUGGACUGGUAUUGACGCUGAGGUGCGAAAGCGUGGGGAGCAAACAGGAUUAGAUACCCGCGUAGUCC